Catharus ustulatus (Swainson's thrush) is the source of this 339-nucleotide non-coding RNA. The record is from the annotation of a RefSeq genome assembly. NCBI's taxonomy places the organism in Eukaryota, Metazoa, Chordata, Aves, Passeriformes, Turdidae.
GCGGCCAUGACCCUGCUGGAGUGCGGGGGGGACCUCCAGCCCCCCGGGGGGUCCCUGACUCUGCUCUGCCGCGGGUCUGGAUUUGAUUUCGGGAGUUACAGAAUGCUCUGGAUCCGCCAGAGCCCUGGGAAGGCGCUGGAAUGGCUCGCGGGGAUCCAUCCCAGUGAUGGCAGCACCGUUUACGCGCCGUCAGUCAAGGGUCGGUUCUCGAUCUCCAGGGACAACGGGCAGAGCUCGGUGACGCUGACCAUGAACAACCUCAAGGACGAGGAUUCCGCCAUUUAUUUCUGUGCCAGAUCUGGUGCUUAUGAUGGUGCUGGUAUUGGUUCAGACCUUUAA